CUCAGUGCUCACACUUCCCACUAACUGCCAGCAUCCCCUACAACAUGGCCCACGUCUCAAGGGAUUGGAAGGAGCCCCCGCAGAGGCCAUCGGCACGGACUAGAAUGCAACCCAGUGGGGCAUCCACCGAUGUGGUCAAACGCUCAGCCAAGAUGGUGGGAAGCGUUCAGACAGAAGUAACUUCUAAAACAUUGCUAGGGAAACGCUCUGACAUCUUCCGUAGAGGUGAAAAAGCACAGGUCUGACUCAGGUAGCUGCGAGUUCAAGUUCAGCCGCAGGCUCUUCCCCAAGGUGCUGGUCUUCGCAGGAACCCCUUGCAGGCAGCUGCAAAGAGCAGCACGGCGCGCACACACAGGGUCCGGCUGGCGUCUGGCCAGAGCAAGGGAACAGUAAGUGUGUCCUGGAGGCGCUCGCCAUGCACUCACACGCCAUCUGUGGAUUCGGAAGUGACCUCCCCCUCGGUUGAUGAGGGUUCUCUGCGUCUGGAGAACACAGGACGUCCACAGGAAAGUUCUCCCUCCUGCACUCCCGGCUGGCUCUGAAAAUUAUGAAGGCAGAGACGU
Molecule: long non-coding RNA, 563 nt
Filed under: Homo sapiens (human)
Lineage: Eukaryota; Metazoa; Chordata; Mammalia; Primates; Hominidae
Description: non-protein coding lnc-EGFL7-1:1
Source: RNAcentral